GGUUAAGUGAAUAAGGGCGCACGGUGGAUGCCUUGGCACUAGGAGCCGAUGAAGGACGGGACUAACACCGAUAUGCUUUGGGGAGCUGUACGUAAGCUAUGAUCCAGAGAUUUCCGAAUGGGGGAACCCAACAUCUUUAAUAGGAUGUUACGAUUGUGUGAAUACAUAGCACAUUCGAGGUAGACGCAGAGAACUGAAACAUCUAAGU
Molecule: ribosomal RNA, 208 nt
Filed under: Enterococcus faecium
Lineage: Bacteria; Bacillati; Bacillota; Bacilli; Lactobacillales; Enterococcaceae
Description: partial 23S ribosomal RNA
Rfam family: Bacterial large subunit ribosomal RNA
Source: RNAcentral